RNAcentral lists this ribosomal RNA (366 nucleotides) under Triticum aestivum (bread wheat). RNAcentral describes it as "partial small subunit ribosomal RNA". Lineage: Eukaryota; Viridiplantae; Streptophyta; Magnoliopsida; Poales; Poaceae. The record is from RNAcentral.
AUUAUUGAUGAACUGCUGGAUGAGCUUGCAGGUGCUGGCUGGUUUUCUAAGUUGGAUCUGAGAUCAGGAUAUCACCAGAUCAGGCUGGCACCAGGAGAAGAACAUAAGAUUGCUUUCCAAACUCAUAUUGGUCACUUUGAAUUUUUAGUGUUAUCAUUUGGCCUUACUGGUGGACCUAACACUUUCAACUUUGGGAUGAAUGACACAUUGGCUCCAUGCAUUAGGAAAUUUGUAUUGGUCUUCUUUGAUGACAUACUCGUGUUCAGUGCUUCUUAUGAAUUGCACCUGCAACAUUUGGCUGAAGUUUUGAAACUACUUCUUCAACACCAGUGGCAGGUCAAACUAUCUAAAUGUGCUUUUGCUCAG